This 1724-nucleotide long non-coding RNA is filed under the name Sparus aurata (gilthead seabream). RNAcentral describes it as "lncRNA (ENSSAUG00010008498.1)". Lineage: Eukaryota; Metazoa; Chordata; Actinopteri; Spariformes; Sparidae. The record is from RNAcentral.
CUUGAACCCAGACGGAGGAUCCUCUCUCGGCUCAGUGCGAGGAAGACGUCCAGACCGUCUGAGUACGGCGUCCCUUAACAUCUUACAGCGGGAAGACGAUGUUGCUUUGGGCAGCGGCCGUCGGUCCGGCCUCACGGUCGAGUGGCUGCCCGCCUGGACACUGUUUUCCCGAGGUGAAGUGACAGUGUCGGCUGAUGUCGUGCUCGGCGAUGGGUCCAGGACAAGGCGAGUCGGAGCAGCUGGAGCGACAGCCGGGUCACCUGGGUGGGCCGUGGCGUCAUCGGACAGUACCGUGUAGCGGUUGGAGAGGUCCAGGUGCGGUGGCGAGGCAGACCGGACCUCCCGACUGGUCCUACCACGGACCACCACCUCAGCCCAUGACUCCUGAUGGUUAGGAGUUGAGCAGGAAGAAAGCCGAAGGUUGGCGACAGGGUCCCAUUUGACGGUGUCCUGGAUAGUUGUGUUGAGGGAAGUGAUUUGUUUGGACUGCUCAGAUGCUACUUCCAUGAAACUGGACAGGAGUGAAUCCUUCUUUUUUAGUUCAUUGGAGAGCCGACGGAUGUCUUCUUUCAGGUGCUGAGCCUAGGGUGGUGGAUUGGUGUCCUGGUGGCGGCAUCCCUCUUGUGUUUUGCACUUUUUAGGUUGAUUUUGCUUCACUUUUAUUUACUUCACGUGUGGUGUUCCCGGGAUCCCCUUUGUUUUGGACCCAUCUCCCCCAAAGUCUCAGCCCUGGUCCCCCCCUUUUUACCCCCAUGGUUGGAGACCGGUGGUGGCGUGCUGGUGUCUUGGUGGUGGUGUCUACCCUUGUCUCGUUUGCUGUAUCCUGGGAGCGGGUUUACUCCAGUGUGUGCCACGUCUGUUGGGUGAUUUUGGUGGAACCCCCCCCCCGCACUAGUCAUUGUCCACUCACUCGGCUCCAAGCCCUUACUAACUUUUGGAUGACUGAUAUAAAGACUUUAUUUUAAAAGAGAGAAAUUAUUUAAUAAAAUUGUAUUUUUCUAUAACAUUUGAACCACGUCUCAUGCCUUUUAAUGAGUGGCCUUACCUGUGUGCCUUGCACUUUAAAUCAAUUCCUUGGGUGAAAUUCCCAGGGUGGCGUUGUUGGUUUCUUUUUCUUGUUUUUUAGUUAGAUCAUUUAGUUUAAUUUCCUUUCGCCUAUCUCUCGCUACACAAUCAUUGGGAAAACACAUCUAUUUAAAAUACUAAACACAACUCAAAUUGGAAAAGCACACAGACUCACACACAGGAAAACAUUUCAAAUCUAAUUCUAGACCAAUCAGUCUCAGCCAUAGCACUACAAAUACACCUGAUGUGAGCUCAGCUCCUUUGUGCCAACUUUGGAAACAUGGAAGGGAGAGGAAGAGCAGCAGCAGGACGAGUAAGCGGACGAAGAAGGGGAGCAGACAACAGAAGGAGACAAAUGUCCAAUGACAUGAGGGCCACUUUGAUGGACCAUGUUAUAAAUCAUGGCCUUACAAUGAGGGAGGCUGGGUAGAGAGUCCAUCCAAACCUGCCUCCUUAAAAAGCACAACAUCUCAAUGAAGCAGCUGUAUAGAGUUCCAUUCGAGAGGAACAGUGCAAGAGUCAAAGAUCACAGGUCACAUCACAGUAUUGUGUGUAAAUGUAUAUGUGACAGUCCUGUGUUUUCAAUCACACUAUAUGCACUGUACAUUAUCUACAUUUUUCUGUUUGAGAUUCCUGGAACUUGAUACAGCUCCACAGCA